AAAGAGCCAGGGUAGUCAAAGGACUGCUCGUUAAUUUUAAGAUGUGCAGGAUGAAGAGAACAAUGCAAGGACAUCAGCAGAUCAGCAUUGGUGACAUCUGCUAAUUAUUUGGUUUGACUCGUGGCUGGCAUGAGACUUCCAUCUGCAUCAAUCAAUGGAGGCAAUAAGCACAGACAGAUCUGGAACCCUUGCCUACUGUGACAUACAGCGCCAGUAGCAGGCAAGCCUGGGUCAGCUCCAGAGUGGCAAUGGAGGGAAAUUCCCAGGACCCUGGGUCUCUUGGAAGUUUCCAAAGCCUGCAACUGAUCACAGAUCUUGGUUUUCCUCCCAUUGGCUAAAAAGAUAAUAAAUACAAGUUAUAGCUUGA
Molecule: long non-coding RNA, 367 nt
Filed under: Pongo abelii (Sumatran orangutan)
Lineage: Eukaryota; Metazoa; Chordata; Mammalia; Primates; Hominidae
Description: lincRNA
Source: RNAcentral